Molecule: RNA transcript, 6874 nt
Organism: Mus musculus (house mouse)
Lineage: Eukaryota; Metazoa; Chordata; Mammalia; Rodentia; Muridae
Gene: Lmln
Gene name: leishmanolysin-like (metallopeptidase M8 family)
Exons: 18
Source: RefSeq, marked provisional
AAAGAUUUAUAUGUAAGUACACUGUAGUCUUUAGAUACAGAAGAGGGUGUCAGAUCUAUCUUGACAAAUCACCAUAAACUGAGGUGGGGUUUGCAAUUUUGAGAACUGAAAUUGAAUGGACAAUAAGUGCUGCUUUAAACAAUUUCUAGAAUUCCAUCUUUAAAGUAGUUAGGAAGCCCAGCAGUGGUGACACGCCUUUAAUCCCAGCAAUUGGGAGGCAGAGGCAGGCAAAUUUCUGAGUUCGAGACCAACCUGGUCUACAAGAGUGAGUUCCAGGACAGCCAGGGAUACACAGAGAAACCCAGUAACAACAACAAAAAAGAGGCGGGAUGGGCUUUGGAAGCUGAAUAGUUAUGUUUACAAAGUUGAGCCAAUGUUGGGAAUUAAGUAUUUGCGGUAAGCAGAGAAAGGUUGAGACUCCUUUAAGGUAUAAGGAAUGACUUACACAUGCUAUGGCAAGUGACCUUUGCGCAGACUUCAACCUUGUAGCUCGGGGCUCUCUAACUUUCCCUGUGUAGUGGGUAGACAAGCUGUCACAUAUGUACCAUAACCCUAGUUGGCUGUCCAAAUAGCUUUGGUAGUUACGUGAUGGUGCUGGAGUGGACUGAAGGGUCUGGUUCACAGGACCAGCUGUGGGCCGAGCGCUUAGCUGCUACGGAAUGAAGUGGCAGCAGCAGCUUCUGAAUGCGCCGCUCCGCACGCCCGACCGCUUUGCACUAAUCCCCGCUAGCCCAGGGUUCCCACAGCUCAGUUCACGUGGGCUGCCCCGCGGCGCUCAUUGGCCAGCUCCGCGCGUCGCCGCGGUCGCCGCUGCCCUCGUCCUCCGCCGGACCCGGCGUAAUGCCGGCCAAUGGCGAGGCGGCUUACGGCCCGCCACCUGUCCGCGGCGAGGGCGGGCGGCGGCGAGGAGGCGUCGCACUCCAUGGUAACGACGCCGGCCCGAAGAUGGCGGCCGCUGGGUCUGGAGGAGCGGGCGGCCCGGGACCAGGGCCGCGAGGCCGCUGGGGCGGCUGCCUGUGGGUGCGAGGCGUCCUGCUUGUGCUGGGCGGGCUCCCGGCCGGUGCCGGAGCUGCUCCCGUCUCCCUGGGCACUUCGCCUCCGUGUCGCCAUCACGUCCUUUCGGACACUGAGGUCAUAAAUAAGGUCCAUCUUAAGACAAAUCAUGUCACGAAGAGAGAUGCUGACGGGCAUUUACGAAUCAAGACCAUCUACGACCAGAGCAUUGAAGAGUUGCUCCCUGAGAAAAGAUAUCUUGUAAAGAACAAACUUUUCCCUCAAGCUAUUUCUUAUUUAGAGAAAACAUUUCAGGUUCGAAGACCUGCUGGCAGGAUCUUACUUAGCAGACAAUGUGCGACAAACCAGUACCUACGGAAGGAAAACGAUCCACACAGAUACUGUACUGGAGAGUGUGCGGUGCAUACCAAGUGCGGGCCUGUUAUAGUGCCGGAGGAGCACCUCCAGCAAUGCAGGGUCUGCCGAGAGGGUAAGUGGCCGUGUGGAGCAGUGGGUGUGCUUGACCCAGAGGGUGUGCGGGACGCAGACUUCGUUCUUUAUGUGGGUGCUCUGGCCACUGAGAGGUGCAGCCACGAAAACAUCAUCUCCUACGCAGCCUAUUGUCAGCAGGAGGCAAAAAUGGACAGGCCCAUAGCAGGAUAUGCUAACCUGUGUCCAAAUAUGAUCUCCACCCAGCCCCAGGAGUUCAUCGGGAUGCUGUCCACAGUGAAGCAUGAGAUCAUUCAUGCCCUGGGCUUCUCUGCUGGUCUUUUUGCAUUCUACCAUGAUCAAGAUGGAAACCCCCUGACUUCAAGGUCUGCAGAUGGCCUCCCGCCCUUCAACUAUAGUCUUGGCUUGUAUCAGUGGAGUGAUAAAGUGGUUCGGAAAGUGGAGAGAUUGUGGAAUGUUCGAGAUAACAAGAUAGUUCGCCACACUGUGUAUCUCCUAGUAACACCGCGUGUUGUUGAAGAAGCUCGGAAGCAUUUUAACUGUCCGGUCCUCGAGGGCAUGGAGCUUGAAAACCAAGGCGGGAUGGGCACGGAGCUGAACCACUGGGAGAAGCGCUUGCUCGAGAAUGAAGCAAUGACUGGUUCCCACACCCAGAACAGAGUCCUGUCUCGGAUCACUCUGGCGUUAAUGGAGGACACUGGCUGGUACAAAGCCAAUUACAGCAUGGCUGAGAAACUCGACUGGGGCCGAGGACUGGGCUGUGAAUUUGUCAGGAAGAGCUGUAAAUUCUGGAUUGAUCAGCACAGGCAAAGGAGGCAGGUGCCGAGCCCGUACUGUGACACACUCAGAAGUAACCCGCUGCAGCUGACCUGCAGACAGGACCAGAGAGCCGUCGCUGUGUGUAACCUGCAGAGGUUUCCUAACCCCUUACCACCCGAGUACCAGUACUUUGAUGAGCUCACUGGGAUACCUGCGGAGGAUCUGCCUUACUAUGGCGGGUCUGUGGAAAUCGCUGACUAUUGUCCUUUCAGUCAGGAAUUCAGCUGGCAUUUAAGUGGCGAAUACCAGCGCAGCUCCGACUGUAGAAUCCUGGAAAACCAACCAGAGCUGUUUAAGAACUACGGGGCAGAGCAGUACGGGCCGCACUCGGUCUGUCUGCUUCAGAAGUCUGCGUUCAUCAUGGAGCAGUGCGAGAGGAAGCUCAGCUACCCAGACUGGGGGAGCGGCUGCUACCAGGUUUCUUGUUCUCCUCAAGGUCUAAAGGUUUGGGUUCAAGACACUUCCUAUCUGUGUAGCCGGGCCGGGCAGGUGCUCCCAGUCCGAAUUCAGAUGAACGGCUGGAUUCACAAUGGAAACCUGCUGUGCCCUUCCUGCUGGGACUUCUGUGAGCAGUGUCCACCAGAAACAGACCCUCCAGCUGCCAACCUGACUCGAGCCCUUCCUCUGGAUCUCUGUUCCUGCUCUUCUAGCCUGGUGGUCACACUUUGGCUCCUCCUCGGCAAUCUGUUUCCUCUGCUGGCGGGGUUCCUUCUGUGUGUGUGGCACUAGGAGUGGAAAGUGAAGUCUCAAGACGACGGUUUUGUCAUGUUCCCAUGAACGAAGCACAGGACCUGGGUGAGCAACAGCCCACAGGGGUGCCAUUCUUCACUCUGGCUUGGAAGUGCUGUCCACAGUAGGACUGUGAAGAGUGGACCACCCAGUGUGACUGCUCCACGGCAGUCACUCCUUACCAGCCACACAGCCACCUGGAGCGUGGAGAGGAACUACCCCAAGGUUCCAUAGUUCAUGGGCCUGCAAUCUCCUGGCAGGUCUCCUUUAAUGCCCGGUGGAUGGUGGGAUUUGCCUCGAUCACAUACCUCAGCUUUUGCAUUCAUCUCCCGUCCGUGAGCAUCAAGGUCACUCAGAGAGCUGCUGACAGCCCAGUCCAGAGUUUGAGUUGAAGAUCCCAUCCUCCACAGUACGAAACUGGUCCUCAGGAUCUCAGACUUCCCGCCCCCACUGCACCUGUUUUAAAUGAACGUCUGGUUACGACACUCUCAAAUCAUCCCUCCUUCCGUGCCACUAAAGCGGUUGACUUGACUGUGUUUGCCUUUCCUGGCGGCUUGCCAAGCUGUUGUCAGUAUGUCGUUAGCCCUCUGUGCCUGAUCAGCCUUCUCCAUGUGAGCUGAGUGUCCACUUGCUUUCCUCAUUAAUUUCAUAGCAACUUGGAAAACCGUGGGAGAGCAUGAAGUAUGGUCAGGGGGUUGAAGUCGUGCGAACAGAAGGGCGCGCGAUUGUGCUUCAGGUAAUAUUUACAAAACCCGGGAAUCCAUCAAAGCCCAACUGAUCCUUUCUGGCCUAUGUAAAGUUUAAAGGUUUAGAUGUGGGCAGGCAUGUCAUCACUUCCAAGAGGACUGGGCUGUUAGAGAAUUCCUGCUAAAUCACAAAGUUAUUUCACAGACAAGAAGAAAAAAACUCAAGUUAAGACAAGAUCAUCUGAAUUGUUUCCUAGCAGCAAAGUAUAGGUUUGGGGUCCAGCCUGCCCACCGGCCCAUCUGGACUCCGUUACAGCGCUUGUAUAUUACCUCUGUUUGCAUGUCUGUUUCCUCCCGUGUCUGACACUUCCUGUACCACACGGAUUCUGUGAAGUAAUCCUCCUGCACCAGAGCUUACCAACCCUCUAGUACCUUAACACUGACACUCUUUAACGAAAAGCGAUAUCCUGGAUUUUUCCCUGAAGAUAAUCAAUUAUUGUAGUGUUAUAAACAGCCUGUGGACCAGCGAGAUGGCUCAUUAGCAGAUAGUUACUGCGUGUUCAAGUACAGUGGAACAUGGCGGCCCGUAAUCCCAACGUUUGGGAAGGAGAGCAGAAGGAUCAUGAGUUCAAGGGCGUCCUCAGCUACAUAGGGACAUUCACGUCGAAGCCAGGAUUGGCACAUGAAACACUGGCGAGUGGCAGGAGAAGGAGUUGUGGGAGGGAGCAGAGCACUGUGUUAUAAGCACUGACCCUAACCAGCUGUGGCACCGCAGCGGGGCUUCAGUCUCAGAAUAAGGAAAGCUCACUUUCUUUUUAAAGGCAGAAAUUUGAGAUAUGUACCUGCAUGCAGUAUAAGUUAGAGGUAUUCAUCACUGUGCAAAGCUGAGGCUCUUAAACUCAGGCAACUGCAGCUAAAAAGGCCAUCAUCUGCAGAGCAGGACACCGUGCUUUGCCCGGCAUUCUGCCUUCUUUAAGUUGUACAAAGUCAGAGAGAAGUAAGUAUGUAUUUAAAGAAAUAUACAAUAUGCUGGGCAUGGUGGCACACACCUUUAAUCCUAGCAUCUGGAAGACAGGAUAGUGGAUAUCUGAGUCUAAGACCAACCUGGUCUACAAAACAAGUUCCAGACCAGCCAGGGUCACAUAGUGAGAGGAACCUGUCUAAAAAGAAAAAAGAAGUACACAUUAAACCUUCAUACCUAUGAUGGUUAUGAAUUAUCCUACAAAAUGUAUAAAGAAUUUCACCAAAAAUAACAGUGGAGUAUAUUGAGAGUCUGUGAUAGGUCUGACGGCAUUUGGACUGUUGUGCAGUAAUGCCGUUUAGGUAGUAGUGUUUCCAAGCAUGGUGCUUUUUAUACUUGAGAUAUAUUUUUGCUUUAUUUUUUAAUUAAUAUUGUAUUUGCACUAAUGACUUUCUGAAGAAAAUGUUACAGAUGACAUUUUUGUAUAUAUAUGCAUAUAUAUAUAUAUAUAUAUAUAUUUAUUUAUUAAGCUUGGACUGUGGUGUCCCAGUGUUUGCUCUGCACAAACAUGAAACUUCAUGCAGUCAGUGUCAAGAGACACUGAACUCCAGAGCGUUACUAGCUAGGCUCUUUUGUCUCAUCCUCUUCAGUGAGGCCAGAGCGAGGUCACUGUCGCUUAGCAUUGAUCCCACAUGGCAUACUUAGCAAGGCUUGGACGGUCACUCAGCCCGUAGGACAGUGUUAGAGGCUCAUUGUCGUCACUUCAAAUAUAGCAACCAAGACAUGGUUUCUGCAGUCGAGAUUUCAGUGCAGAAUCAGCUGUAGGGUUCCGCUGUGAACUGAGGGAUUUGAAACAGCCUUCGUGCUGGCGCAGAUUAACCCUUCCACGUCACAAGGGUAAAACCAGUGGCCCGUGGAAAGAACCAAGCAGGGUGCUCCAUGAUAGGAGUGAGGUGGGACAGGAAAGAGAGGCGGGGACAGCUGGUCAGGGGACAGUAGACUGGAGUCUCUUCCUGAAUCAGAAAAGCCAAGUGUUUAUAAAAACUGACUACCUCGGUGUUCAGUUCAAACCCGUCAUUGUAAGUGUUUUAAGGCCCUAGGUGUCAAACAUAGCAAGUGAAUUGUCUCAGGUUUUUGCAGAAUUUACAGGAAGGAAGCAAAGCCAUGUGAGGAGCCCUGAGCAGGGUCAGGAGGGGGCGGGGCAGCCUUUGGUGGUCUGUGUCGACCCCUCCGAUUCUCUACUGCAGAACGUCCUUCCCGGAAUACUUACUUUUUUCCUAUAGGAUUCUUAUAUUUUUAAGACCAAAUGGGGAUUCUAAAAAUGUUCUAAAUUAUGCCUAGCAUUAGUUUUUAGCCUAAGUUGGCUUAGAGUUUAUUGAAAUUUAAAGAUAUAUCAUAAUUGUAUGGGUUGUAAAUAGUUUUAGGAAGAUGCAUAAGUAAGUGUAUCAGAGUAUUUCUCACGAAAUGUUAUCAGCAUCCUCUUUCAUAUUGGAUUUAUAGAUUCAGCCAGGCAUGGUAGUCAUGCCUGUAGUCCCAGCACUUGGGAGAUGGAGGCAGUAGGAUUAUGAUUUAAGACCAGCCUGGGCGCACGCACGAGAAAGAGAGAGAGAGAGAGAGAGAGAGAGAGAGAGAGAGAGAGAGAGAGAGAGAGAGAGAAUAUGAGACUCAAUCCUACCCUACCCUGCCAAAUAAGGGGGGGGACGUACCAUUUGUGGCCAUGUAUAAAGCAGCUAGGUGGUGGUCUGAAAUUUUACGCUGUAAAGCCCUGUGACUAACACUUGGCAAGGCCUAAGUUGCAGCUGGCCCUGCUCAGCGUCCCGGAGUCUCCAGCCUGCACAGUGUUCUAUGCCUGGCCAGCUAUGUACCUAGAAGCUGGGUGAACAGAGGAGAGCCAGUCUCUGAAGACAGCUGAGUUGUCCCAGCGUGAGGUGGACAUCCUCACAGCCUCACAGCUGGCUGGCUUCAUGGUGAGCACUAGUUCUCCCUGGCAUGGCCUUUUGCCUCCAGCCCAGGAGGACUGGCGUGCUGUGUUCAAUCCAGGUUGCUCCUUCUGAGGGCAGCGCUGAACUGGAAAGAUUUUUUUCCCUUUUUAAAUUAUGUUGGGACAUGGGAGGGAAUGCUUUUAUGUUUACAUUAAGUAAAAUAGAUUUUAAAAUUGUUCUUUAUUUAUGGUGGUGAACUUUAAGUGUAAUGUAUUCCUUCUAAAAACACAACUUUAAUAAAAAAUGGAAACUAA